RNAcentral lists this ribosomal RNA (666 nucleotides) under Bacillus sp. SRM0904. Its description in RNAcentral is "bacterial SSU rRNA". It matches the Rfam family "Bacterial small subunit ribosomal RNA", at positions 57 to 707 of the family's 1533-position model. The record is from RNAcentral. Lineage: Bacteria; Bacillati; Bacillota; Bacilli; Caryophanales; Bacillaceae.
GCAGUCGAGCGGACGGAUGGGAGCUUGCUCCCUGAAGUCAGCGGCGGACGGGUGAGUAACACGUGGGCAACCUGCCUGUAAGACUGGGAUAACUCCGGGAAACCGGGGCUAAUACCGGAUAACUCUUUUCCUCACAUGAGGAAAAGCUGAAAGAUGGUUUCGGCUAUCACUUACAGAUGGGCCCGCGGCGCAUUAGCUAGUUGGUGAGGUAACGGCUCACCAAGGCCACGAUGCGUAGCCGACCUGAGAGGGUGAUCGGCCACACUGGGACUGAGACACGGCCCAGACUCCUACGGGAGGCAGCAGUAGGGAAUCUUCCGCAAUGGACGAAAGUCUGACGGAGCAACGCCGCGUGAGUGAUGAAGGUUUUCGGAUCGUAAAACUCUGUUGUCAGGGAAGAACAAGUACCGGAGUAACUGCCGGUACCUUGACGGUACCUGACCAGAAAGCCACGGCUAACUACGUGCCAGCAGCCGCGGUAAUACGUAGGUGGCAAGCGUUGUCCGGAAUUAUUGGGCGUAAAGCGCGCGCAGGCGGUUCCUUAAGUCUGAUGUGAAAGCCCCCGGCUCAACCGGGGAGGGUCAUUGGAAACUGGGGAACUUGAGUGCAGAAGAGAAGAGUGGAAUUCCNCGUGUANCGGUGAAAUGCGUAGAGAUGNGGAGGAAC